AACGCAUCUUGCGCUCCUUGGUAUUCCGAGGAGCAUGCCUGUUUGAGUGUCAGUAAAUUCUCAAUCCCUCUAACUUUUGUUGGUGGGAUUGGAUAUGGAAGUGUUGCUGGUCUUUAUUGAUCAGCUCUUCUAAAAUGCAUUAGCGGAACCGUUUGCAAUCCGUCACAGGUGUGAUAAUUAUCUACACCAAAGGGGGUUGCUCUCUGUCUGUUCAGCUGCCAAUUGUCUAUGAAGGACAACCAUUAUUGAACAUUUGACCUCAAAUCAGGUAGGACUACCCGCUGAACUUAA
RNAcentral lists this unclassified non-coding RNA (291 nucleotides) under uncultured fungus. Its description in RNAcentral is "sequence contains ITS2". The stretch from base 1 to 52 matches the Rfam family "5.8S ribosomal RNA", at positions 103 to 154 of the family's 154-position model. The record is from RNAcentral. Lineage: Eukaryota; Fungi.